Molecule: long non-coding RNA, 983 nt
Filed under: Pan troglodytes (chimpanzee)
Lineage: Eukaryota; Metazoa; Chordata; Mammalia; Primates; Hominidae
Description: lincRNA
Source: RNAcentral
GCCUCGGUCCUUCGCCGUCCCUCGCCGUCCUUCGCCAUCGCAUGCCAUCGCACGCCACCGCACCCCAUCUCUCGAAAUCUGCAGACAUCUUGAUUUUUCCCACGCUGUCUGUCAGGUCUCCGCCGCCACUCGACGCCAGGGCGCCGGGCCUUGUGGGCUGUGCUGCACCUCGGACGGCUUCGCACCAGCCAGCGCCCUCUCUCUCCUGCAGCACUCUGAUCUGCACCCCCUGAGGGGCUUCCACUGUCCGCGGGGUGAGAAUGCCCCUGGGAAUGUCACAUGACUGCCGCCCCAUGUGUGUGAGAGGUGUCCUCUGGGAGAGCAUGGAUCCUGAGGUCCCAGGAUUGUCAGCUGACCUCUGUCCUGUGUGCCCAGUGGCCCCAGGUGACGUGUCUUCAAGAAGAGGCUGAGCUGCGGUGCUUGUAAGAGUCAUGUGCUGUUCCUGGGGCUUGGAUGAUGUAGGGGAAGCAAGGUGAAAGUGGUAUCCCGUGGUUCCACGUUCUGUCCUGCUGUGGGGCUGUCCCUCACAUGCCUUCAGUGGCUGUUGCAGAGGAAGAGCCUCCGGAAAUCUGCGUGGGUCUCAGCCUUAGAUCCAAGGACAGUCCAAGGAAGUCCUAAGACCAUGGAGUUGGUGAUCUGGGAUCUGGGUUUGCUGAUAUUUCUCACCAUGAAUCUCUUGGUGGUGUUUGUGGGCAUGAGAGGGGCAGAGAAUAGAGAGUGAGGCUACCACAUGAAGCGUCACCAGAGCUGCUCCCUGCUGCCUGCUCAGAGCACCCCGGAUCCACUGUUCAAUCUGCACAAGAUUCGGGGUCCAGACAUGGGAGACUUCAGCUGCCUCAGAGGACCGUGGACAGGGAAGGCCAGCCUCGCAUCCCUCUGUCCAUGCCUGGAAUGACUUUAAUAACCAAGAGUUUUAUUCUUGAAUUUGUAGCUGUCGUUCACUUUUUACCCACCCAUUCAAUAAACCUUACAGAAUUGCUCCA